AGUGAACGCUGGCGGUAGGCCUAACACAUGCAAGUCGAACGGCAGCACAGUAAGAGCUUGCUCUUACGGGUGGCGAGUGGCGGACGGGUGAGGAAUACAUCGGAAUCUACUUUUUCGUGGGGGAUAACGUAGGGAAACUUACGCUAAUACCGCAUACGACCUACGGGUGAAAGCAGGGGAUCUUCGGACCUUGCGCGAUUGAAUGAGCCGAUGUCGGAUUAGCUAGUUGGCGGGGUAAAGGCCCACCAAGGCGACGAUCCGUAGCUGGUCUGAGAGGAUGGUCAGCCACACUGGAACUGAGACACGGUCCAGACUCCUACGGGAGGCAGCAGUGGGGAAUAUUGGACAAUGGGUGCAAGCCUGAUCCAGCCAUCCCGCGUGGGUGAAGAAGGCCUUCGGGUUGUAAAGCCCUUUUGUUGGGAAAGAAAAGCAGCAGGUUAAUACCCCGCUGUUCUGACGGUACCCAAAGAAUAAGCACCGGCUAACUUCGUG
This 492-nucleotide ribosomal RNA is filed under the name uncultured bacterium. RNAcentral's name for it is "partial 16S ribosomal RNA". It matches the Rfam family "Bacterial small subunit ribosomal RNA", at positions 29 to 507 of the family's 1533-position model. The record is from RNAcentral.